GUACACUCCUACGGGAGGCAGCAGUGGGGAAUUUUACGCAAUGGGGGAAACCCUGACGUAGCGACACCGCGUGAGCGAAGAAGCCCUUUGGGGUGUAAAGCUCUGUCAGCUGGAACGAAAACAAUGACGGUACCAGCAGAGGAAGCAUCGGCUAACUACGUGCCAGCAGCCGCGGUAAGACGUAGGAUGCGAGCGUUGUCCGGAUUUAUUGGGCGUAAAGAGUUCGUAGGUGGUUUGUUAAGUUUGGUGUUAAAGAUCGGGGCUCAACCCUGGGACUGCACUGAAUACUGGCAGACUCGAGUGUGGUAGAGGCUAGUGGAAUUCCCAGUGUAGCGGUGAAAUGCGUAGAUAUUGGGAAGAACACCGGUGGCGUAGGCGACUAGCUGGGCCAUAACUGACGCUGAGGAACGAAAGCCAGGGGAGCGAAUGGGAUUAGAUACCCCUGUAGUCCC
This 452-nucleotide ribosomal RNA is filed under the name uncultured organism. Its description in RNAcentral is "partial 16S ribosomal RNA". It matches the Rfam family "Bacterial small subunit ribosomal RNA", at positions 331 to 797 of the family's 1533-position model. The record is from RNAcentral.